CGCUCACCUGGGUCUCACACAGUCCCGGCCAGGUGGCGGCUCCUGGAGGCUCACUGCCCCUCCCCCUCCUUCCUGUCCCUCUGCUCUGCUCCCCCUGCCCCUGCCCCAUCCCACGGGUCUCUCUCUCUGGUCACUCCAGGUGCUGGCCCUACCACAUUUCUUACCUGGCAGCCAGAGUCUCCCAGAGAGCGUGUGCCAAGUGCGACUGGCAGCGGCCAAGUGGCUGCCAUCCUGCUGCUUGAGGGCAUCACAAAGGCCACACAGGUUGGAGGUGGCGGGGGCGACAGAGAUGGCAUCUCUCAGCAGGAAGGGGGGGGCGGGUGGGUAUCAAUGAAUUGGAAAAUCCCACAGGACCCCGUGUGUUCCCACACAUCCUCUGCCCAGGGAAGGGGGGCGGAAGCUCCCAGAGGCCCUAACCACCUCCACUCUGGGGCUGCUCUGCUCACCGAGCUCACUCUUCAGUGUCUGGAAGGACUUGGGGCAGAAAGAAGCACCGUGUGUGACGGAGGGGGAUGCUGUCAGCUUGAGGCCAGCGGGGCCCACCCUGUAGUGGAAUCAGAGGACAGCAGAGGGUCUGUGUCGGAUCCCAGAGGCGCCUGCUACGUCUGGAGCUGGAUUUUAGCCCGAGUCUGCCAGCUCAGACCCAGCUCUUUCAACUACCUGAAAAUGAUCACCAUGCUGAAAUUCAAGAGACCAGGAUUCCAGUCUGAUCUUUGUAACUAAUUAGCCUCGAAGAAGGCUGUGCUUGGUGUCUCCUCCUUUCAGAAUGGGGACUAGAUCCCACCUCUGUGACAUGGAUGGAGCACGGGGCUGUGCAUCACGAAGCCUCUGACAAUCCCAUUAAAGACAUCUACCUUGGGAAUUCCCUGGCGAUCCAGUGGUUUGGACUCCACACUUUCACUGCUGAGGGCGUGGGUUCGAUCCAUGGUUGGGGUACUAAGAUCCCACAAGCCGCGCAGCCGGAAAAAAAAAAAAAAGGUACUUACCUGACUAUAGUUAACCCAGGAUUUCCCGAGCUUGUUUGCCCCUGGCCCCUUCCCUGCUUUUUCCUCUGUUAAUAGCUUUAGAGACUUUAUGUCAUCAUAACACCUCUUGGGGAAUAGGAAGCUAAAAGAUUUCUGUGUCCCAUCAAUUGUGACAGUCAAAGAUUCAGCGAUUGUCCCAUCACCCGCUUGGAAAGAUACCACAAAGAUGUCAGAGAAGAUGGUCAGCUGAUUUUUCAGGAUUCCCCAUGGAAGAUAUUGGCUUGAUGUGGUUACUGUGUUUUAAGGAUCUCUGCUAGCAUCACUCUCUGAUGGCAUACAGAAUGCUUGAUCUGCUGACAUGGAAUCCAACAUAACAUCCCCCUGAACCAGAAGACGCAUUUUACAGGAAAGGAGCAACCAUUUGGAUUUGCCCUCUGGAACUCAGGGAAGGUCAAGGAGGCUGAAUGAAGCCUAUUUCCUACAAACAAGAAACAAGGACACAGAAAGGGCUUAUACCUGGGACGGCCCACAGGAUCCUGCUCCAUUUCCUAGACUGUCCCAUCUACCCAGCCCAGCAAAACAGAAAUCUGUAUGCCGUUCGGAUAACAUUGCCUCUCUCUCACCUUCCACAACAGUUGGUUUAUUGCAUACAAUUCCUGCUUCGCUUCUAAAGAGGGGAUUCUCACGUGACCACAAGUUGCCCACCCACUAGAAGCCUGGCAUUCAGCGUGUGGCCCCAUUACAGUGCUUGUCUUUGUCUCAUGGGCUCUGAUAUAUCCUGGGAGCAGUUCGAUGGACCCAGCUUGGGUCAGGUGCCCUCUAGGAGCCAAACACUGAGCUCAGUUGAUGAGAAUCAUCCUCUGAUUAGCUGGGUCCAGAUCAGGGCCUGACCCUGGGGUAGGGGAGCGUGGGAGCCACCCGCCCCCCAGAAGGAACAAGAUGAUUCUGGAGUAGGCGUGGGGUGCUGGGCAGACCAGCAUAAUUCUUCUGUUACCACAGACGACUGCUGUAGUCUGCUGCUACUACUGCUUUUUCUACUGUGCCUACAACAACAAUGACAACAACAAAUAAUAACAAUAAUUUUAUUUAUUAUUGAGUCCAUGCUAAGGAGCCAGCACUGUGCCAAAUGCUUGACCUUCCUAAUCUGCUCCCCAUCACAAGCAGCUCCACAUUCUUCCUACCGGCAUUAGCUCCAUUUCCCAGAAGAAGACGCUGAGGCUUGGAAAAGCUGAGUACGUCACCCAAGUUUACACAGCUAAUAAGUGACGGAGAUGGUGACCCAAGUCCAUCCAAAUCCGAAGCUUGUGUGGGGCUUGCAAGAUGAAUAAACUAGGAGUCUGCCAGGUUAGACUGGAGGGAUUAGGGAAGGGUGUUUUAGACAGAGGGAAGGGCACUGCUAAGCUAUGGAGCAGUGGGAGACCACGUUGCGACUGGGAAGGCAACCCCGUAAGGCCAUAGCCAGGCCAGAGAGCCUCACGGUAGUUCUCUGUCCAGGCUGUGUGUUAAGACACCUGGGGGGAGGGGGACUUCCCUGGUGGCCCAGUGGUUAAGAAUCCGCUUGCCAGUGCA
This is a long non-coding RNA of Aethalodelphis obliquidens (Pacific white-sided dolphin), 2534 nucleotides long. RefSeq lists it as uncharacterized. Lineage: Eukaryota; Metazoa; Chordata; Mammalia; Artiodactyla; Delphinidae. The record is from RefSeq and is a predicted model, not a curated record. The transcript is spliced from 6 exons.